GGCGUGCAUGGCACAGCGUGCUCUGAGCUUACUGCAUGGAUCGCUGUAAUCCACCUCUGUAUGGGCGCCAGAGUCUGACUGGCUGUUUAUACUGACGGCUACAGUUUGUGGAGAACAUGAGAAGGUCCCUGCUCAUGAGGCUUGGACUACAGUGUGUGAGAAAGUGUCUCACAGGAAAUUUUGAGGGUUUUUCCAGUGAAAUUCCAAAGCUAGGACUGUCUGCAGCCAGAUUCUUUUUUUUGUUUGUUUUUCUUCAAACCUGUCCUGGUUUGGAGGACACAGGGCAGGGGCUUUGAUGUAAUAAUCACCUCCACACCUCAUCAAACCCUUGGCUGGGAUUGGCCUGUACCGGGCUGUCACGAUGGCCUGCCUCACGCCACACGUUGGGGUCGCCAACCCUGUUGUUUCCAGGCCACAGGCUUUUGUUGGAACCACGGGUCAAUCGAUCAUUUUGAUUCAUGUCGGCUACCAAUCACAGAUCAGAGGUGGCCUGUGGCAUUACAAAAGGUCGUGGCUGAAAUUCAUCCUGGGUUUGUUUCAUCCAGGGUUCAGUCAUCUCAAAUCAAACCAAAUGCUACUCGGGACCUUUUACUUGGUGCGACCAAUACUUACUUUGGCUAUAGUUUCAGCCCUUCAAGAACUGCUGCGAUGGAAGCCCCGCGGCCUAAACGAUAGCUCCCACCGUGUCAUUAGGGGCAUGAGGAGAGGACCCCAUGAAAGCACUGCCAAAAAAUCUCCUUGAAGAUCGAGGGAAAGAAAGGCAAGGGGUAUUGAUCCGUCUGUCCACGGAUAUGAUACUUAAGCCCUGGUACUGAGAGCUGGAGAGCCCCUGGAUCCAUAUCUCAAAGACUUUAAUCCUGGCCCCUCUUACAGCUGGAUUGGCCUUCACCUUAACCUCCCGACAACUGCUCCAGCAGAUCAGCCAUGGAAAUGUUAUUCUUCUCACAAGCUGCUUCCCUCCUCCUCCCCUCUUUCUUUCCCCGUGCUUUGUGUUCUUUGCGGUUAUUAACAGGCCUACCCUGCGUUCCCAUCCGAAUUAGGAGUGAGAGGUGAAUUAAUACCUGAUCCUGGUUUUCAUCAUUUUCUGAAAAAAAAAAAAAAAAGUUCUUAUCCUCCUGUUCUUGUAGCUGAAGUUGGAGGGGAAACUUGAAGGAAGCAUGCACACAUUACUGGUGAGCUGGUCAUGUCGGCCUGCUGCUUAUUAUAUGUUAUAUUAGCAUAAUUAGUGUAAGCAAAAGUCAUCCCUGAAUGCAUAUUGGUUGUUGCUAGUUCUUAUACUUCUUUUCAAGCUGCAAAACCACCGUGGAUGUAUAUAGAGAAAUGUUGUAUAUAUAGAGAAAUGCUGGAAUAAAUGGUGCCCCAUUCA
Long non-coding RNA from Perca fluviatilis (European perch), 1366 nucleotides. RefSeq lists it as uncharacterized. NCBI's taxonomy places the organism in Eukaryota, Metazoa, Chordata, Actinopteri, Perciformes, Percidae. The record is from RefSeq and is a predicted model, not a curated record. The transcript has 2 exons.